GAUGAACGCUGGCGGCGUGCCUAAUACAUGCAAGUCGAGCGAACAGACGAGGAGCUUGCUCCUUCGACGUUAGCGGCGGACGGGUGAGUAACACGUAGGUAACCUACCUAUAAGACUGGGAUAACUUCGGGAAACCGGAGCUAAUACCGGAUAAUAUUUCGAACCGCAUGGUUCGAUAGUGAAAGAUGGCUUUGCUAUCACUUAUAGAUGGACCUGCGCCGUAUUAGCUAGUUGGUAAGGUAACGGCUUACCAAGGCAACGAUACGUAGCCGGCCUGAGAGGGUGAUCGGCCACACUGGAACUGAGACACGGUCCAGACUCCUACGGGAGGCAGCAGUAGGGAAUUUUCCGCAAUGGGCGAAAGCCUGACGGAGCAACGCCGCGUGAGUGAUGAAGGUCUUCGGAUCGUAAAACUCUGUUAUUAGGGAAGAACAAACGUGUAAGUAACUGUGCACGUCUUGACGGUACCUAAUCAGAAAGCCACGGCUAACUACGUG
RNAcentral lists this ribosomal RNA (497 nucleotides) under uncultured bacterium. Its description in RNAcentral is "partial 16S ribosomal RNA". It matches the Rfam family "Bacterial small subunit ribosomal RNA", at positions 28 to 507 of the family's 1533-position model. The record is from RNAcentral.